ACAAUGAAGAGUUUGAUCCUGGCUCAGGAUGAACGCUAGCUACAGGCUUAACACAUGCAAGUCGAGGGGCAUCAGGAAGAAAGCUUGCUUUCUUUGCUGGCGACCGGCGCACGGGUGAGUAACACGUAUCCAACCUGCCCUUUACUCGGGGAUAGCCUUUCGAAAGAAAGAUUAAUACCCGAUAGCAUAAUGAUUCCGCAUGGUUUCAUUAUUAAAGGAUUCCGGUAAAGGAUGGGGAUGCGUUCCAUUAGGUUGUUGGUGAGGUAACGGCUCACCAAGCCUUCGAUGGAUAGGGGUUCUGAGAGGAAGGUCCCCCACAUUGGAACUGAGACACGGUCCAAACUCCUACGGGAGGCAGCAGUGAGGAAUAUUGGUCAAUGGGCGCUAGCCUGAACCAGCCAAGUAGCGUGAAGGAUGAAGGCUCUAUGGGUCGUAAACUUCUUUUAUAUAAGAAUAAAGUGCAGUAUGUAUACUGUUUUGUAUGUAUUAUAUGAAUAAGGAUCGGCUAACUCCGUGCCAGCAGCCGCGGUAAUACGGAGGAUCCGAGCGUUAUCCGGAUUUAUUGGGUUUAAAGGGAGCGUAGGUGGACUGGUAAGUCAGUUGUGAAAGUUUGCGGCUCAACCGUAAAAUUGCAGUUGAUACUGUCAGUCUUGAGUACAGUAGAGGUGGGCGGAAUUCGUGGUGUAGCGGUGAAAUGCUUAGAUAUCACGAAGAACUCCGAUUGCGAAGGCAGCUCACUGGACUGCAACUGACACUGAUGCUCGAAAGUGUGGGUAUCAAACAGGAUUAGAUACCCUGGUAGUCCACACAGUAAACGAUGAAUACUCGCUGUUUGCGAUAUACAGUAAGCGGCCAAGCGAAAGCAUUAAGUAUUCCACCUGGGGAGUACGCCGGCAACGGUGAAACUCAAAGGAAUUGACGGGGGGCCCGCACAAGCGGAGGAACAUGUGGUUUAAUUCGAUGAUACGCGAGGAACCUUACCCGGGCUUAAAUUGCAGUGGAAUGAUGUGGAAACAUGUCAGUGAGCAAUCACCGCUGUGAAGGUGCUGCAUGGUUGUCGUCAGCUCGUGCCGUGAGGUGUCGGCUUAAGUGCCAUAACGAGCGCAACCCCUUAUCUUCAGUUACUAACAGGUCAUGCUGAGGACUCUGGAGAGACUGCCGUCGUAAGAUGUGAGGAAGGUGGGGAUGACGUCAAAUCAGCACGGCCCUUACGUCCAGGGCUACACACGUGUUACAAUGGGGGGUACAGAAGGCAGCUAGCGGGUGACCGUAUGCUAAUCCCAAAAGCCUCUCUCAGUUCGGAUCGAAGUCUGCAACCCGACUUCGUGAAGCUGGAUUCGCUAGUAAUCGCGCAUCAGCCACGGCGCGGUGAAUACGUUCCCGGCCUUGUACACACCGCCCGUCAAGCCAUGGGAGCCAGGGUACCUGAAGUACGUAACCGCAAGGAUCGUCCUAGGGUAAAACUGGUGACUGGGGCUAAGUCGUAACAAGGUAGCCGUACCGGAAGGUGCGGCUGGAACACCUCCUUU
RNAcentral lists this ribosomal RNA (1529 nucleotides) under Bacteroides fragilis. RNAcentral describes it as "bacterial SSU rRNA". It matches the Rfam family "Bacterial small subunit ribosomal RNA". Lineage: Bacteria; Pseudomonadati; Bacteroidota; Bacteroidia; Bacteroidales; Bacteroidaceae. The record is from RNAcentral.